RNAcentral lists this ribosomal RNA (257 nucleotides) under uncultured bacterium. RNAcentral describes it as "partial 16S ribosomal RNA". It matches the Rfam family "Bacterial small subunit ribosomal RNA", at positions 524 to 777 of the family's 1533-position model. The record is from RNAcentral.
UACGUAGGGCGCAAGCGUUAUCCGGAAUUAUUGGGCGUAAAGAGCUCGUAGGCGGUUUGUCGCGUCUGCCGUGAAAGUCCGGGGCUCAACUCCGGAUCUGCGGUGGGUACGGGCAGACUAGAGUGAUGUAGGGGAGACUGGAAUUCCUGGUGUAGCGGUGAAAUGCGCAGAGUAUCGGGAGGAACACCGGUGGCGAAGGCGGUUCUCUGGGCCUUUACCUGACGGCUGAGGAGCGAAAGCGUGGGGAGCGAACAGGG